ACCACUCUCAGGAAAGGCAGUGUCCACCUUCCCAGGAGGUCUCCAGGAUGUUAUGAAGGGGUGUGCCGGCCCAGGUCGUGCUCACCCUGCCUGGGCGAAGGGGGGUGUGUUUCUCCAAAAUAAUGCGGCUUUGGGGGAGCUGUCAGAUUUCACUCUGGCUGAACCUGAUCCCAAUGUCCUGCAUUUUGUGCUCAUCUUUGAGUCAGAACUUUGGGGGUAUUUUCCUCCUGCCUCUGAACAGUGACUCGUGGGUCUGGCUGCUUUCACCUGGAGAACGUUGCAUUAAAGGCAGGGCUGUCGAACAGGACCUGCGUUUGCAAGGAAGCGCCUCCUCCCGGGAGACUGGAGCCCUUCACUUCUGGUGGCCUUGACCUCUGGUUGCAAGACAAAUGGGAUCCACUAAAUCCGCUGUCCCUUCUCUCAAGAGGCUGGGAGGCAGGGAAAUUGUUCUUCCAUUUGUUACUGUCUUGAUUACAAAAACAUUAUUGGCAACAGUGUUUUACAUAAUGUACUGGUGUCCACUAAACCUUGAAGCAGGGCCUCCCCCGUGGCGCAGAAGGUUGAGCUCAGCCCUGGGAAGCCGCCUCCAGACUCUGCAGCGCAGGUUCAAUUCCCGGCCGGCGAGGGAGAUUCCCACAUGGCGCAGCAGACCUCUCCCGCCGUGCCCGCUGCUCCCCUCAGCCGUGUGUUUCAUCACUCGGCCUGUUCUGCUCCCUGCUCUGUCUCUGGUGGAUCCUCUCACCCCCCACACCUCUGGCCUGUGCCCCGGUUCUUGUAUGCAUGAAUAAUAAAAUCUUAAAAAAAAAAAAAA
Molecule: long non-coding RNA, 811 nt
Organism: Talpa occidentalis (Iberian mole)
Lineage: Eukaryota; Metazoa; Chordata; Mammalia; Eulipotyphla; Talpidae
Exons: 3
Source: RefSeq, a predicted model, not a curated record